Molecule: ribosomal RNA, 253 nt
Filed under: uncultured bacterium
Lineage: Bacteria
Description: partial 16S ribosomal RNA
Rfam family: Bacterial small subunit ribosomal RNA
Source: RNAcentral
UACGUAGGGUGCAAGCGUUGUCCUGAAUUAUUGGGCGUAAAGAGCUUGUAGGCGGUUUGUCGCGUCUGCUGUGAAAUUUCGGGGCUCAACCCCGAACUUGCAGUGGGUACGGGCAGACUAGAGUGUGGUAGGGGAGACUGGAAUUCCUGGUGUAGCGGUGAAAUGCGCAGAUAUCAGGAGGAACACCAAUGGCGAAAGCAGCUCUCUGGGACGGUACUGACGCUGAGACGCGAAAGCGUGGGGAGCGAACAGG